ACAAGCAACGUUAGAGUCCAAAAGAUUAGGCUGAAUGUCCCAAGUAAAUCAUCUUCAGUGAGAUUUGUCAAGCGAGUAGAGGAAAAGACAUUGACAGGAGAAGUGGCAAGGUCCCCAUAUACAACUCCAAGAGAUUGGUAAGCCAACAACAAGGUCUGCAUGGGUGGAUAUUCCUGAGAAAAUUACUCAAAAUCUAAAUAUCCUAUGAAGUGACUUAAAUGUAUCAAGACACUAACAAAAAAAAGUGUGAAGUUAUUAGAUUUUAGUGGAACUGGUAGUAGCAAAAGCACACAUCGAGGAUAAAAUGAGAACAGGUUGCUUGUGAUGGUUUCAUCAUGUCCUAUGUCAACUUCCAGACGCAGCGGUCUGCAGGAACCAUGAUGACAUUUAAGGUGUUCAAAAGGAAGAGGUAGUUAUAACUUAAUCACAUGAAGGAAGUUAUCCCGAAAGACCUACACUCUCUUGAAAUCUAUGCAAACCUAGCAAAAGAUCGGGCACAAUGAAAGAAAAGGAUCUAUAUGGAUGAUACCAGUUAGUUGGUUUAAGCUUUAAUUACGCUAAUAUGUUUACUUUCGAUCUCAAUGUUUGCUAGGAGUCUUUCGGUCUUGUUUGAGACUUCAUGUGUGGGCAAUGCAGACAGCUUCUAGUGCUACAAAAGCUAAUUUUUUAUUAUAUUUGAACUUAGACAAAGCUUAAUGGAGUGACAUGGACAAUGAGAAUUCAUAUAGCCGAGGAUUCAAUAGAUGGUCUUAAAUAGAGAGACAAUGGAUAUCUCUUGGAAUAUUGAAGAUGAGAAAAAGUAAAGCUUACCUUAGCUUUCUUUAAGGGAGAGUGGUAUGCCUGGAUAGCUGUCCUGUAUGUUUCCAUAGCAGGUACUGAUCCUGGAACAACUCUCCUGCUGUUGUUACAAAGGACACUUCCAAUAUUCUGGUUAAGAAGUUGCCAUACAUUGUGUCAUGCUUAUAUAUAGCUUCAAAAAACCCUCAAGGACUAUCGAUUUGCAAACAGGGAUAUCAAUUUGGUUGAUCCUCAGAAUAAAAUAAUAGAUAUAAACUAGUGCUUCAAAUUCUAAAAGCCACAAGUUGCUGGAGAGGGAGCAGGUAAGGAAACACAUCAUCAUAUAUAUUUUAGCAGUAAUUCCACCAAUUUGCAUACAAAUUUGUUUCAUCAUCCUGUUGGAGCACUUAAUAUGAAGAUAAAUUAUUUGGUGCAUUAUCUUGUUGACAUAUAACAUUUCCAUUGGAUUAUCUUUUAUACAAAGGAGUGACUAGUCACUCUCACAAGUGACAUAUAA
This is a long non-coding RNA of Solanum pennellii, 1294 nucleotides long. RefSeq lists it as uncharacterized. The transcript is spliced from 2 exons. Lineage: Eukaryota; Viridiplantae; Streptophyta; Magnoliopsida; Solanales; Solanaceae. The record is from RefSeq and is a predicted model, not a curated record.